AUUGCUAAAACCAACCCAAAAAUUGAUUGCAACCCUAAAAGUAGACCCCAUAUUCAAUCAAUUGCAAACCUAACCUAAAGGGAUGUUAAAACUACUAUUUAGCCCUUGUGACCAAACAAAAAAAACAUAAAAUCAUUUUACUGUUCUGUCCUUCGUAAGUCUACACAUAACAAACAUAGUCUACAUAUCCGUAGACGUCAUACACAGUCUACAUUAUCGACUUAAUUUGUAGUCUACAUUGUAAUUUAAUCUAGUUAAUUAUGUUUAAAAAUAUAUAAAAUUAAUUUUUAUGAAAUUAUUAAUUAAUCAUCAAUGUAAACGUUAAUAUAGAGUUUAUAAACUAAAUUUGUAUAUAAGUGAACAACUAAAAAGAAUAUAUGUUGAUUUGGUAACCAUGUGAGAUAAUGUUUAUGGUUUAGUAAUAAAAUGUCACAUAACAUGAUGUAUCUUUAAAGGUUAGAUUUCUAGGGUUAGAUUUAGAUUGAAUUUUUUUGUUUGUUUAAAUUAACAUAUUAUUACUGAGUAGUUUAUAUUUUGUAAAUUUGAUAUUUGAUACAAUAAUUUCCUAUCAAACUAACAUUUAGGGUUUGAAUUUCGUGGUUUAGGGUUUGAGUUUUGUGGUUUAGGGUUUUGUAGACUUACGAUUCAGUCUACACGAACCAAACUUUAUUGGGGUAGACAGAAAAAGAAGUCUACUCUCAACGAUUUUAACCUAACCGGAGUUAACCAAAUUUAUUUCAAACCAAACAUUUUUUAAUCUAACCUAAAAAUUAACCAAAAUAGAUUUAACCUAACCAACGACAUAUAAAUACAUGUGAACAUUGGUAAAAAAAAAAAUAAGCGGCGCAAUGACAAAAAAAAAGAAAGAAAAAAACCCUAAGCGCCGUUGCUCUUUUUCUCUCUCGGAGGUGGAGGACUAGAGGAUUUCCAUCGAUUUCUUCACGCCGUUUCUGAUGCUUUUGAUCUGAGCCGCACCUUUGCCUAUGUUCUCGUCCAUCUCUAUGCUUACGCUCGACCUCAUGGCGAAGGUAAAGUAGUCCUUGACUUCUUUCGUUUUGAUAACCUAACUGGUAGACUUAUCUCUGUUCUGUCUCUGACCUCCCCCAUUUUGUUGGUUUCGAAGGCUGACAGGUAAACAGAGAUCUGAGCCGGCCAAGGAACGGUGCAUCUUCACGUUCAACUUUCUGCUUCUGGUGACUCUCACGGCAAAGGUGAAGUAGUGGUUGACUUCCGUUUUAAUAACCUAACUAGUAGACUUCUAAGUUUAUCUAUAGACUUGUCGUGUAAAUGCAGACUUUUUUGAAUUAUAGACUUCUCUACCAGUUUAUGAUCCUUCUUGGUAUAUAAAGUAACCACCUUUACUUCUUUUUGUUUUAGAUCUUAGACCGGGACUUCUUCUCACGACUUGUUCUCACGUUAGUGGUGUUGUGGCGUUUCAUAUCUCCGGCGAACUAAAGGUGAUUCAUCUCUGUUUGUAGUUAGUGUAGACUUCUUUUGACUCGUGUAGACUUCUUCGUCCUGCAUACUUAUUUGUUUAUUUGCUGGUCUAGGUUGAUUUGCAUAAUUAUUGGAUAAUUUUGGUAAAAUGGAGCUGCAAGUGUGUCAAAGUUUCUUACUUUGUCCUUAUAUGCUAUGUUCUGUCUUAGAAAAUCAUACUAUAUGUUACACGUUUCCAUUUUUUUUAGUUCUCUUUGUAGUUCUUUUAUACUAUUAAUCUGGUGUUGUAUUAAUUUAGUGUGAGUUACUGAAUAUGUCAAUCUGUUUUUUUUUACAGUUGAACUCUGGAGACUCGGUGAUGAUAGAAGGCAGUUCCUUCUUGAUGCCCCAGAAACAUGUUGCCUCACUCGCUAUGAGCUUUGCAUAGUAGGGAUGGGAAGACUUGACAUCUACAUUAUAAUGAGACUCGCCAGCUGUGAUAUGGUGAGCUGGUCUAGUGAGAGGUGUUUAUGUGGUUCUUGUCUAAUGAUACACAAAAUUUCUGAAAGUAGUUGUUGUUUGUUUGUAGUAUUGUUACAUGUAUUUACUUCUGAGUUUCAGUUUACCAUACUUGUUGUAACAAACAUAUGUAAUUUGCUUGCAUCAACCUUCACUAUAAGUCCAAGACAUCAUGUUUUGUUGAAA
Long non-coding RNA from Raphanus sativus (radish), 2121 nucleotides. RefSeq lists it as uncharacterized. NCBI's taxonomy places the organism in Eukaryota, Viridiplantae, Streptophyta, Magnoliopsida, Brassicales, Brassicaceae. The transcript is spliced from 2 exons. The record is from RefSeq and is a predicted model, not a curated record.